CUUUUUAAAUUCUCGGCAUAGUGUAAUGAUUACUAUUCCAAAACAGAAGAUAUGUUGGCAAACUGCCCUGUAUUUGAAAAUAGAGGAAAUGCCCUGGAAAGAAUGAGAUGUGGUAAAGAGAGGAAAUGACAAUGUACUGAAAAGACUGGGCUGUAAGUCAUCACAGCGGCGCCCUGAAACCCGAUAUGUCAGGCAAGCUGGUGGGAUCCUGGGAUCCCUCAUGUAACGGCACUCAUUCUGACAGAAGCAGAGAUAAAACAGACUAAGUACACAGAGGAGUUUAAGGUUUCGUGAAUGUAAGUGCUGAGUACAGAAUGGUGCUCAAUAAAAGCUUGUUAAUUGAUGGACCACAGGUUUGUGACAAGACUUCUCAGAGUCUGAUUCUUUCAAGGUGGGAUAUAAGAGUAAGUAAAUGGCAUGGGGAAAAUCUGAUUGCCACAGACAGAAGAAUGAAACUGGAUGCCUAUUUCUCACAAUACACAAAAGCGAUUCAAGAUUAAAGACUUAACUGUAAGACUUGAAACUGUAAAAAUACUAGAAGAAAAUCUAGGGAAAACUGUUCUGGACAUUGGCCUAGAAAAAGAAUUUCUGACUAAGACUUCAAAAGCACAGUAAACAAAAAUAGACAAACGGGACUUAAUGAAACUAAAACUCUUCUGCAGAGCAAAGAAAAUAAGAAACAGAGUGAACAGACAACCUGCAAAAUGGGAGAUAGACAAUGGAGACUAAGAAGAGCAAAGGAAUGACAGAGAGGUGGAGGAUGAGAAAUUACUUAAUGGGUACAAAGUACAUUAUUUGAGUGAUGGAUGCCCUAAAAGCUCUGACUUGACCAUUAUGCAAUCUCUGCAUGCAAUAAAAUUGCACUUGCACCCCAUACAUUUAUAUAAAUUAAAAAGUAAAAUAUCCCUCUUUACCACUAGUAAUGAUUUUCCCCUUAAAAUCUAUUUUAACUAUGUAGCAGACCCUCUUAAUAUUCUGCUCAUAUUUUCCUGUCACUUGCCAUUGCUGUGCACACUGAUGGUUUUCCUACUGCCAUCACCAGUACUCCAUUUGAGAGCUUUCUCUGGUAAGCUUGGUUCGUGUGCAGGGAAGGGAGGCUAAAGGUUCUGGGAAGUUGAAACACCAGUAGCAGUCCUCAUCCAGUGACAGAUGGAAACUGGAGGAUAAAUAACUCAGCUUCGUCAUCUAUUGGGUGGGACCACUGUGAGGGAUAUUCUGUAUUAUCUCUCAGAGGUCCUCAGCAGGGCUGACUCCCAGGUGUCCUUUGUGGUAACCUGCUCACUAAUACCUGGCAUUGGCUUCUUUCUCUUCCUUUUAUCACCCUUUCCCCUUCCCAGUUCUCCUAUUAGAGCUUCUUGUGAUCACUUUCCAAAUGAACUAUGUGCUAUGGUUUGAAUAUUUGUCACCUCCAAAACUCAUGCUCAAUUUAAUCCCUAAUGUAGGAAUAUUGAGUGGUGCAGCCUUUAAGAUGUGAUUGGAUCAUGAGGACUCUCCCCUCAUGAAUGGAUUAAUUCAUUCAUGGAUUAAUUGAUUAAUGAAUUAAUGAGUUAAUGGAUUAAUGGGUUAUCAUUGGAGGGGAACUUGUGGUUUAUAAGAGAGAGACCUGAGCUAGCAUCUUAGUAUGCUCAGCCCCCUGUCUGUGUGAUGCUCUGCACUACCUUGGGAUUGUGUAGAAAGUCUUCACCAACAAGAAGGCUUUUACCAGAUAUGUCCCCUUGGCCUUGGGCUUCCCAGUCUCAAG
This 1741-nucleotide long non-coding RNA is filed under the name Homo sapiens (human). RNAcentral describes it as "HSALNT0057743". The record is from RNAcentral. Lineage: Eukaryota; Metazoa; Chordata; Mammalia; Primates; Hominidae.